AACGUAGGAGGCGAGCGUUAUCCGGAUUCAUUGGGCGUAAAGGGCAAGUAGGCGGUAGGCAAAGUUGGUUGUGACAUCUCCCGGCUCAACUGGGAGGGUGCGGCCAAAACUAGCAUACUAGAGGGCAGAAGAGGGAAGCGGAAUUCCUAGUGUAGCGGUGGAAUGCUCAGAUACUAGGAGGAACACCAGUGGCGAAGGCGGCUUCCUGGUUUGCACCUGACGCUGAGAGGCGAAAGCUAGGGGAGCGAACGGG
This 253-nucleotide ribosomal RNA is filed under the name uncultured bacterium. Its description in RNAcentral is "partial 16S ribosomal RNA". It matches the Rfam family "Bacterial small subunit ribosomal RNA", at positions 524 to 776 of the family's 1533-position model. The record is from RNAcentral.